RNAcentral lists this ribosomal RNA (1367 nucleotides) under uncultured Serratia sp. RNAcentral's name for it is "bacterial SSU rRNA". It matches the Rfam family "Bacterial small subunit ribosomal RNA", at positions 27 to 1383 of the family's 1533-position model. The record is from RNAcentral. Lineage: Bacteria; Pseudomonadati; Pseudomonadota; Gammaproteobacteria; Enterobacterales; Yersiniaceae.
GAUUGAACGCUGGCGGCAGGCCUAACACAUGCAAGUCGAGCGGUAGCACAGGAGAGCUUGCUCUCUGGGUGACGAGCGGCGGACGGGUGAGUAAUGUCUGGGAAACUGCCUGAUGGAGGGGGAUAACUACUGGAAACGGUAGCUAAUACCGCAUAACGUCUUCGGACCAAAGUGGGGGACCUUCGGGCCUCACGCCAUCAGAUGUGCCCAGAUGGGAUUAGCUAGUAGGUGGGGUAAUGGCUCACCUAGGCGACGAUCCCUAGCUGGUCUGAGAGGAUGACCAGCCACACUGGAACUGAGACACGGUCCAGACUCCUACGGGAGGCAGCAGUGGGGAAUAUUGCACAAUGGGCGCAAGCCUGAUGCAGCCAUGCCGCGUGUGUGAAGAAGGCCUUCGGGUUGUAAAGCACUUUCAGCGAGGAGGAAGGGUUCAGUGUUAAUAGCACUGUGCAUUGACGUUACUCGCAGAAGAAGCACCGGCUAACUCCGUGCCAGCAGCCGCGGUAAUACGGAGGGUGCAAGCGUUAAUCGGAAUUACUGGGCGUAAAGCGCACGCAGGCGGUUUGUUAAGUCAGAUGUGAAAUCCCCGCGCUUAACGUGGGAACUGCAUUUGAAACUGGCAAGCUAGAGUCUUGUAGAGGGGGGUAGAAUUCCAGGUGUAGCGGUGAAAUGCGUAGAGAUCUGGAGGAAUACCGGUGGCGAAGGCGGCCCCCUGGACAAAGACUGACGCUCAGGUGCGAAAGCGUGGGGAGCGAACAGGAUUAGAUACCCUGGUAGUCCACGCUGUAAACGAUGUCGACUUGGAGGUUGUGCCCUUGAGGCGUGGCUUCCGGAGCUAACGCGUUAAGUCGACCGCCUGGGGAGUACGGCCGCAAGGUUAAAACUCAAAUGAAUUGACGGGGGCCCGCACAAGCGGUGGAGCAUGUGGUUCAAUUCGAUGCAACGCGAAGAACCUUACCUACUCUUGACAUCCACAGAAUUCGCUAGAGAUAGCUUAGUGCCUUCGGGAACUGUGAGACAGGUGCUGCAUGGCUGUCGUCAGCUCGUGUUGUGAAAUGUUGGGUUAAGUCCCGCAACGAGCGCAACCCUUAUCCUUUGUUGCCAGCACGUAAUGGUGGGAACUCAAAGGAGACUGCCGGUGAUAAACCGGAGGAAGGUGGGGAUGACGUCAAGUCAUCAUGGCCCUUACGAGUAGGGCUACACACGUGCUACAAUGGCGUAUACAAAGAGAAGCGAACUCGCGAGAGCCAGCGGACCUCAUAAAGUACGUCGUAGUCCGGAUCGGAGUCUGCAACUCGACUCCGUGAAGUCGGAAUCGCUAGUAAUCGUAGAUCAGAAUGCUACGGUGAAUACGUUCCCGGGCCUUG